Molecule: ribosomal RNA, 466 nt
Filed under: Vreelandella stevensii
Lineage: Bacteria; Pseudomonadati; Pseudomonadota; Gammaproteobacteria; Oceanospirillales; Halomonadaceae
Description: partial 16S ribosomal RNA
Rfam family: Bacterial small subunit ribosomal RNA
Source: RNAcentral
CCUACGGGGGGGCUGCAGUGGGGAAUAUUGGACAAUGGGGGCAACCCUGAUCCAGCCAUGCCGCGUGUGUGAAGAAGGCCCUCGGGUUGUAAAGCACUUUCAGUGAGGAAGAACGCCUGGUGGUUAAUACCCAUCAGGAAAGACAUCACUCACAGAAGAAGCACCGGCUAACUCCGUGCCAGCAGCCGCGGUAAUACGGAGGGUGCGAGCGUUAAUCGGAAUUACUGGGCGUAAAGCGCGCGUAGGUGGCUUGAUAAGCCGGUUGUGAAAGCCCCGGGCUCAACCUGGGAACGGCAUCCGGAACUGUCAAGCUAGAGUGCAGGAGAGGAAGGUAGAAUUCCCGGUGUAGCGGUGAAAUGCGUAGAGAUCGGGAGGAAUACCAGUGGCGAAGGCGGCCUUCUGGACUGACACUGACACUGAGGUGCGAAAGCGUGGGUAGCAAACAGGAUUAGAUACCCGAGUAGUC